GGAAUAUUGCACAAUGGGGGAAACCCUGAUGCAGCGACGCCGCGUGAAGGAUGAAGUAUUUCGGUAUGUAAACUUCUAUCAGCAAGGAAGAAAAUGACGGUACUUGACUAAGAAGCCCCGGCUAAAUACGUGCCAGCAGCCGCGGUAAUACGUAUGGGGCAAGCGUUAUCCGGAUUUACUGGGUGUAAAGCGUGUGUAGGCGGUUAAAUAAGUCUAAGGUUUAAGCCCGGAGCUCAACUCCGGAUCGCCUUAGAAACUGUAUAACUUGAGUAUGGUAGAGGUAAACGGAAUUUCUAGUGUAGCGGUAAAAUGCGUAGAUAUUAGAAGGAACACCAGUGGCGAAGGCGGUUUACUGGGCCACCACUGACGCUGAGACACGAAAGCGUGGGGAGCAAAUAG
RNAcentral lists this ribosomal RNA (399 nucleotides) under uncultured bacterium. Its description in RNAcentral is "bacterial SSU rRNA". It matches the Rfam family "Bacterial small subunit ribosomal RNA", at positions 358 to 775 of the family's 1533-position model. The record is from RNAcentral.